RNAcentral lists this ribosomal RNA (238 nucleotides) under uncultured bacterium. RNAcentral's name for it is "partial 16S ribosomal RNA". It matches the Rfam family "Bacterial small subunit ribosomal RNA", at positions 15 to 233 of the family's 1533-position model. The record is from RNAcentral.
GAUCAUGGCUCAGGACGAACGCUGGCGGCGUGCUUAACACAUGCAAGUCGAACGGAGCACCCCUGAAUGAGGUUUCGGCCAAAGGAAGGGAAUGCUUAGUGGCGGACUGGUGAGUAACGCGUGAGGAACCUGCCUUUCAGAGGGGGACGAACAGUUGGAAACGACUGCUAAUACCGCAUGACACAUGAAUGGGGCGAUCCCAUUGAUGUCAAAGAUUUAUCGCUGAAAGAUGGCCUCG